Ictalurus punctatus (channel catfish) is the source of this 511-nucleotide long non-coding RNA. NCBI's taxonomy places the organism in Eukaryota, Metazoa, Chordata, Actinopteri, Siluriformes, Ictaluridae. The record is from Ensembl.
UGGUAUGGUAAGGUGUGCUGUGUGGUGUUAUGGUAUGGUAAGGUGUGCUGUGCUGUAUUGUGUUAUGAUAUGAUAUGGUAAGGUGUGCUGUGCUGUGUUGUGUUAUGGUUUGGUACGGUAAGGUGUGUUGUGUUGUGGUUUGGUGUGUUGUGUUAUGGUAUGGUAAGGUGUGCUGUGUUGUGUUGUGGUAUGGUAAGGUGUGUUGUAUUGUGUUGUGUUAUGAUACGGUAAAGUGUGUUGUGUUGUGUUAUGAUAUGGUAAGGCAUGCUGUGUUGUGUGAUGGUAUGGUAAGGUGUGGUAAGGUGUGGUAAGGUGUGCUGUGCUGUGUUGUGUUAUGAUAUGAUAUGGUAAGGUGUGUUGUGCUGUGUUGUGUUGUGGUAUGGUAAGGUGUGCUGUGUUGUGCUAUGUUGUGUUGUGGUAUGGUAAGGUGUGCUGUGUUGUAUUGUGGUAUGGUAAGGUGUGCUGUGUUGUGUUAUGAUAUGAUAUGGUAAGGUAUGUUGUGCUGUGUUGU